Molecule: ribosomal RNA, 481 nt
Filed under: uncultured Chloroflexota bacterium
Lineage: Bacteria; Bacillati; Chloroflexota
Description: bacterial SSU rRNA
Rfam family: Bacterial small subunit ribosomal RNA
Source: RNAcentral
GCCCGCUCAAGUAAACGUAAAGGAAUGACGGGGGCCCGCACAAGCGGUGGAGCAUGUGGUUUAAUCGAUGAUACGCGAAGAACCUUACCGGGGUUUGACAUGCAGGUGAUCGCCGUUGAAAGACGGUUUCCUCUUCGGAGGCACCUGCACAGGUGCUGCAUGGCUGUCGUCAGCUCGUGUCGUGAGAUGUUGGGUUAAGUCCCGCAACGAGCGCAACCCUCGUCGCUAGUUAAUUUCCCUAGCGAGACCGCCUCGCAAAACGAGGAGGAAGGCGGGGAUGGCGUCAAGUCAGCAUGGCCUUUAUACCCUGGGCGACACACACGCUACAAUGGGUGGUACAGUAGGUAGCGAAGGAGCGAUCCGGAGCAAAUCCUUAAAAACCAUCCUCAGUACGGAUUGCAGGCUGAAACCCGCCUGCAUGAAGCCGGAGUUGCUAGUAACCGCAUAUCAGCAUGGUGCGGUGAAUACGUUCUCGGGCCUU